This 1527-nucleotide long non-coding RNA is filed under the name Pan troglodytes (chimpanzee). Its description in RNAcentral is "long non-coding RNA NONPTRT016956". Lineage: Eukaryota; Metazoa; Chordata; Mammalia; Primates; Hominidae. The record is from RNAcentral.
GCUGAAUUUCUAUCUACUAAUUUUCAGGUGGAACAGUAUGGUUGCGGAGAGUCCAUUUGGACAUAGAUACACUUUCAUGCAUUCAUGUCUUUAACAAUAAUUUGUGGCCCUACUGUGUUUGUGCACUAACUCCUUGGAACCUACCACAUAAGCUAUAUCUGUAUUUUCCUUGUAAUUUGGGACGUCCAAUGCUUCAUUAAGCUCACAUGCCUGAAACUAAUAAAGAAAAUAGCUCGUUAACCAGCUAGUAUAAAAGUAGCCACCAAAUCAAGUCAAUCACCUGCCUUAAAUCAGCCCAGUACUCCCAUCUUGAGCGGAGAAGCCCAUUCUGAAUCACAGUCAAGACAUUGAUGGAAAAACAGCUCCCUCUGGGGAUCAAAACCACGCUCACUCCAAAUCCUCCUCCCCAGAGUUCUACUCAUUGCUCACCCACUGAACCCAGAACAAACCAGAAGUGCUUGAAAUGAGGACGGGUAGCUCCGUGUACCAAUCGGAAUUUAAAACUGUAUCAAUUCCUGCUGUAGAAAUGAAGCGUCUCCUCAGGACCAGCAUUCCACGAAGGCAGCCCUUUUCUGGAUGGAGAAAACAGAACCUGAAGACACCCGUUUCCCUAAACUGCUCCUGCUCAUGUUCUACAGGUAUAUCCAGCAGCUCCAGAAAGACAGCGACCAGCGAGAAGGGGCCAUGAUGAUGAUGGUGGUUUUGUCAAAACGAAAAGGGAGAUAUGUAGGGAAAAGAAAGAGAGAUCAGACUGUUACUGUGUCUACAUAGAAAGUGAAGACAUAAGAGACUCCAUUUUGAAAAAGACCUGUACUUUAAACAAUUGCUUUGCUGAGAUGUUGUUAAUCUGUAGAUUUGCCGCAGCCACUUUGCCCCAACCACUUCGACCCAACCUGGAGCUCACAAAAGCAUGUGUUGUAUGAAAUCAAGGUUUAAGGGAUGUAGGGCUGUGCAGGACGUGCCUUGUUAACAAAACGUUUGCAAGCAGUUUAUUUGGUAAAAGUCAUCGCCAUUCUCUAGUCUCAAUAAACCAGGGGCACAGUGCCCUGUGGAAAGCCACAGGGACCUCUGCCCUUGAAAGCUGGGUAUUGUCCAAGGUUUCUCCCAAUGUGAUAGUGUGAAAUAGGGCCUCGUGGGAUGAGAAAGACCUGACCGUCCUCCAGCCCAACACCCAUAAAGGGUCUGUGCUGAGGUGGAUUAGUCAAAGAGGAAAGCCUCUUGCAGUUGAGAAAGAUGAAGACCACUGUCUCCUGCCUGCCCCUGGGAACUGAAUGUCUCUAUAUAACACCCAAAUGUACAUUUGUUCAAUUCUGAGAUGGGAGAAACUGCCCUAUGGUGGGAAGCGAGACAUGUUUACGGCAAUGCUGCCUUGUUAUUCUUUACUCCACUGAGAUGUUUGGGUGGAGAGAAACAUAAAUCUGGCUUACGUGCCUGUCCAGUCACAGUACCUUCCCUUGAACUUCAUUAUGACAUAGAUUCUGUUGCUCACAUAUUUGUUGCCGACCUUCUCCUUAUUAUCACCCUGCC